CUACGGGGUGCAGCAGUGGGGAAUAUUGCACAAUGGAGGAAACUCUGAUGCAGCAACGCCGCGUGGAGGAUGACACUUUUCGGAGCGUAAACUCCUUUUAUAUAGGAAGAAGAUGACGGUACUAUAUGAAUAAGCGCCGGCUAACUCUGUGCCAGCAGCCGCGGUAAUACGGAGGGCGCAAGCGUUACUCGGAAUCACUGGGCGUAAAGAGCGUGUAGGCGGAUUAAAAAGUCAGAAGUGAAAUCCUAUAGCUUAACUAUAGAACUGCCUCUGAAACUCUUAAUCUAGAAUAUGGGAGAGGUAGAUGGAAUUUCUGGUGUAGGGGUAAAAUCCGUAGAGAUCAGAAGGAAUACCGAUUGCGAAGGCGAUCUACUAGAACAUUAUUGACGCUGAGACGCGAAAGCGUGGGGAGCAAACAGGAUUAGAUACCCGAGUAGUC
Molecule: ribosomal RNA, 439 nt
Filed under: uncultured bacterium
Lineage: Bacteria
Description: partial 16S ribosomal RNA
Rfam family: Bacterial small subunit ribosomal RNA
Source: RNAcentral